ACCAUCAUGACAAACGCCGUGGAGGAAGACGAGUGGCUGCAACCCUUCCUCGACUAUUUCAAGCAUCGCAGUCUCCCCGACGACCCCGUCGCGAGACGCCAACUACAACGACGACUCCCCUUUUAUCUUUAUGAAGCAGGUGUCCUAUACAAGUGGUCUCAUGGACAGGAGGUCCUACUUCGGUGCGUCAAUCGAGGUGAAGCCGAGAAGAUCCUCCAGGAGAUGCACCAGGAAGUCUGCGACGCUCACCAAGGAGGAGCCAAGAUGUAUCAUAGCAUACGUCUUGCAGGAUACUACUGGCCCGGCAUCAUGGCGGACUGCCUGCGGGUGGCCAGGUCUUGCCACAACUGUCAAGUACAUGGCGACUUCAAACAUCUACCGCCAGUACCGCUUCACCCUACCGUUCCCUCUUGGCCAUUUGAU
Molecule: ribosomal RNA, 423 nt
Filed under: Triticum aestivum (bread wheat)
Lineage: Eukaryota; Viridiplantae; Streptophyta; Magnoliopsida; Poales; Poaceae
Description: partial small subunit ribosomal RNA
Source: RNAcentral